RNAcentral lists this long non-coding RNA (3344 nucleotides) under Homo sapiens (human). Its description in RNAcentral is "long non-coding RNA NONHSAT203042.1". The record is from RNAcentral. Lineage: Eukaryota; Metazoa; Chordata; Mammalia; Primates; Hominidae.
GUCGGGUCCCAAAAUACGUGGUCUAAAGUCCUUUGGGCUCCUGCCGCUGCCAGCACUGAUCAUAUGCUCUUGACCCUGGUCGGGUGGGGGGAUGUCUGGAUACCUCCUCUGUGGAAAGAACUGGCCACACAUCCGCAGAGGUGACUCGGGCUGAGAACCCAGGCUCCUCCUCCCUUUGGUGACACGCCCCUCGGUCCCUCACUGGCACUUCUCCCUCCGGCCACACGGCGGCGUCUCGCCAUAGCGCAGCGGCCGAUGGUACAGCCCGCUCCCCCCUCGCGCUCUCGGACAGUGGGUCCUUCCACUUGUAGAAAAGCAUUGUGGGACGGAAGCCUGUCCUUUCUUCCUUUUGGUGCGAGCUUGCUGUGGUUUUUGCUCUGGGUCCUCUGGGAUGGCGCCUGGCUGUGGCCGCGUGGUCUCUCACGCAGGGGCGCCGGGCGGGGGAACGCGGCCACCCUGAGUCUGGUGAGUCGACUGCGGCGGCCUGUGUCCGAAGUGUCCGGGGCCGUGAACAAGGGCAGCGGCCUGGCCUCAGGCCUGCGUUCCCACGUUUGGAAACGGGGAGCUUCGUCGAUUUGUGUUUACAUCAUCGACUAUGCCAGGGAGUUCUCCAGAUAAGCCUGGUUUUAUUUUCGUCAGUGAAAAGGCCUUACCGUAUAACUGACUUUAUGCUUGCCCUGCCCCCGUAUAAAAUAACUUAAAAGCAGCGUGCCUGGUUACAGCUGUUUCCACGUGCGGUGCUCGUCGGGAGUGAUCACCUACCCUACAGGUGGAAGAUGGAUGCCUGAAGUGUAGACUGCUGCUAGCUGAAUACCAUCUGGGAGCAUAAAGGUGACCUGAAGGUAGGGUGAUAUGUCUUAAAGCACUUUGUAAUGGGAAUUUUUAUCACCUUUUAAAUUGGGGUUCCUUCUCUAGUGAGUUUUAAUGUCAGUGGUACAUUCGUAGUGUUGCUCUGUCUGUAGCUAUUAAGGUGAGUUAAUAAAUGGGAUAGCCUCCACAGCUUAUUUUUGGGAAGGUUUUGCUGAUACUUCCUGAGAAGCCCAGGGAAAUAAAUACGCAUAGUACUGGCAUUCUGCAUCUCUUUAAGAUUUGUUUUUAUGUGUAGUAAUUGAGUUUUUUAAAAGCUUGUGAAAUCGCAGGCAUAUUACCAAGUUCUUGAUUAAAAUGUAAUACAAAAAUAUUUGCUGUCGAAUUGAGUACUUUAUUUUUUCUCUUAGGAUGUCCUUGGUGAGGAUUUUGAAAAUUUGAUCUUCACAAGAGUUGCCUGGAUCAUUUGAAAUUUCUGGGAGUCUGAGGAGUACUGACAUAAUUACCUGCUGGAGUCUGUAAAUACACAUUUAAGACAGUGAGGAUGUGAAUAAAUAUAUUAAUGCACUUUGGCAUUUGUGUUUUAAGUGAUUAACUGCCAGAAACAGCUAUUUCUAAAAAGUUAUAAGGGAGGAGGGGUUCUUUUUUGAUCAGUAUUCACUGCUGUCACCAUAAUUAAUAGCCUUAAAAUAGCUUGUGUUUGGCCCAAAGAGAAAUGUACUUUCUUCCAGUGACUCAAAAAUCGUGGCUAGAACUAGACUGAUUUCUAGUGACAGGUGUGCUUUACUGCACUCAAUGCGUAUUUUUCCUCCAACUAAAUUGUACAUUUAAUGUUGCCAUAUCUUCUGCCUUUGCUUUGCAGGAAACGACAAAUAAUGUAUAGAGGUAUUCAAAAAAUUUAUUGAAAGCACUGUACUAGGAGCUGAGAACACGAUGAUGAGCACAACACAGUUCUUCCCUUUGGAAACAUAGAUAAGUGGAGGGAAUGUCAUCACAAAUGUAAAACUUCACUAUGAGAUGAGUUCCGUGAUAGGAUUUUCUUAGGGAAACCUGAGAAAGAGUUGAGACUAAAGGUAUGUGUCAUAUUUUUCACAAGGCAAAACUGGGGGAAUGACAUAUACAGAGGCUUGGGCUAGAAAAAAGAUACCGUUAGUCCACUUACUUUUGAGACAGUUUUGGCUGCUUUCCCUCUUCAGUGCCCUGUUUUAGAACUGAGUCCUUACUGAGGCUUGUAAGAUGGCUAUUAUGGGAGGUGAGAGUGUUACAAAAUGAGGCUGAAGAGGUAGGUAAAGAAGCCAGACCACUUCAGGCUCCCUCUGGCUUUAUUAAAGCAAGAUAAAUCCAUGGUGGAAAAUCAGAUUUGCAAGAAAAGGUAGUUGAACUAGGUUGCUUAUUGUUGUCUAGACAAGAGACCAGCUUGGACUAGUAAAAUUAGUGAAAUAAGAUCGUUUAUAGUUGGAUGACAGAGCCAACUAGACGUGGUAAUAGUGGAGGUGUCCAUAACUGCUAGGUGUCCAGCUUGCACACUGAUGAGCAUAAUGACCCUAGAUUCAGCUGGGGAGCAGCAUUUAAACAGCUGAAUUUUUAAAUUACCUUUGAGAAACCCAAAUGGUCUUUUUGCAGUAGCACAUUACUCAGUAGUCUAAACUACAGAAAUAAACCUUAAGGCCAUGGGUAUAAAUGAGAUCUGCUGGUGGUAGAGGAAGAGGGCCUAGGGUCUGAAGUUUGAGAAACUCCACUAAUUAAUGGCAAGGUAAAGCAUGAUAAGCCAGAAAGGAUGGUCAGUGGUAGGAGCAAAAUAGGAUUAUAUUAAAGAAGCAAAAGAAUGUCCUAAAAAUUCUCCCUGGGAUUAAGUAACACAGUGAUUGAUAUUAGUGGAGUAGAGGGAAAGAUCCAUGUUAGAGAUAGCUUAAGAUAGGGAUUAGAUGAAUUGAGGGCAAUGACUAAAGAUACUGCUUGCAAGAAAACUGGCUGAGAAUGAGAGGAAAAUCUUAGUUGCUUGGCGGGAGGGGGUUUGUGGUUGUGAAAGAUAGUUUUGUUUAAUCUUAGUCUUAAAUUUAAAACCAAGUAGCAAGGAUCUAGCUGAGAGAAUAAUUGAAUACAUUAAUAUAGGAGGACAGACAAAGAUCCUGAAAAGGCUGGGAGAAGAGCAUCCAAAGCACAGGUGGAGAGACAAAAAGGUUAGGGCUGCUGGCAGCUGUGGAGAGAACUGUACGUGGUAAGGGGGAGAUAUAAGAUGUCCUGCAUAAGUAUUUUCCCUGUAGAUUGCAAAGUCAUCUAUGGAGAGGAAAGGUACAAAAUAGUCACUGGGGAGAGCAGGUGAAUUAGAUGGCCAAGCAGGGUGGAUGGAUCAUUUGAGGUUUGGGGUGACAGAUCAACUGAGAUCCACUUACACUUCUGAAAACGCAAGAACACUUUAGAAAUUAACAACACUUAAAGCUUUUUACAUCAUUUGUAAAUAACUGGUGGAACUUAACACCACAAAAUAAAGUAUUAUAAAGAACUUUAUAUGAAUAAAAAUAUAUGCAGUCUGAAAG